RNAcentral lists this ribosomal RNA (253 nucleotides) under uncultured bacterium. RNAcentral describes it as "partial 16S ribosomal RNA". It matches the Rfam family "Bacterial small subunit ribosomal RNA", at positions 524 to 776 of the family's 1533-position model. The record is from RNAcentral.
UACGUAGGGCGCAGGCGUUGUCCGGAAUUAUUGGGCGUAAAGAGCUCGUAGGCGGCUUGUCACGUCGGGGGUGAAAGCCCGGGGCUUAACCCCGGGUCUGCAUUCGAUACGGGCUAGCUAGAGUGUGGUAGGGGAGAUCGGAAUUCCUGGUGUAGCGGUGAAAUGCGCAGAUAUCAGGAGGAACACCGGUGGCGAAGGCGGAUCUCUGGGCCAUUACUGACGCUGAGACGCGAAAGCGUGGGGAGCAAACAGG